This 672-nucleotide long non-coding RNA is filed under the name Homo sapiens (human). RNAcentral describes it as "non-protein coding lnc-METTL2B-3:4". The record is from RNAcentral. Lineage: Eukaryota; Metazoa; Chordata; Mammalia; Primates; Hominidae.
ACCCGAGUGGCCCCCAGCCGAGCGGGCCCCCACCUCCUGGCCCGGCCUGGGCCCUUCUGCGCCUCCCUUGGCCUUUGUCCAGCGCCAGGAGGCCGGUCCCGCGCCCGCGUCGGGCGCCUGGCUCUGUACGCGAGCCCGGGGAUCUGCGGCCUUCGUGCCCCCCCUCCCCCGCCCGCCCUUUCGUGGAGCCCGGCGCAGGCGGCUGCUGCCCGGGCGGGGGGUUGCGGCGCUCAGGGGAGGCCCCGGCUCCGCCCCGGGCCUGCCCAGGGGGAGAGCGGAGCGGCCCGCAGCCGGGUCGGGUCGGGGCCCCUCCCGGGAGGAGCGUGGAGCGGCGGCGGCGGCAGUAGAAAUAAUGGAAGAAUUGCAUAGCCUGGACCCACGACGGCAGGAAUUAUUAGAGGCCAGGUUUACUGGAGUAGGUGUUAGUAAGUUUGCUGGGGGAAGCGGGCCAGGAACCAGCCCUGGCAGAAGUGUUCCACCAGUUGCACGAUCCUCACCGCAACAUUCCUUAUCCAAUCCCUUACCGUGACGAGUAGCACAGCCCCUCUAUGGUUUAGAUGGCAGUGCUGCAAAGGAGGCAACAGAGGAGCAGUCUGCUCUGCCAAUCCUCACGUCAGUGAUGCUAGCAAAACCUCGGCUUGACACAGAGCAGCUGGCGUAAAGGAGAGCUGG